GAAGUCAAACAAUCAUGCAUCAACUUCAAAAAAUGAUAAGUCAGGGAUAACAAAUGAGAAAUGAAUGGGAUCAACACCAUGGCAAAGCUUAAGAUGUCUAGUUAUCACAUGUUAAAUUUCAUGUCCAUCUAAUAAAGUAUGAGAAUUUCACAAAUGAAAUGGCAACAUGUAUCAUCAAAAGUCAACAUUUUGGUCAAACAGGGGAGAAAAUCUCAAACAAUUG
Molecule: long non-coding RNA, 223 nt
Filed under: Lathyrus oleraceus (garden pea)
Lineage: Eukaryota; Viridiplantae; Streptophyta; Magnoliopsida; Fabales; Fabaceae
Description: Pisum sativum (pea) long non-coding RNA (PSAT_LNC040825)
Source: RNAcentral